This 456-nucleotide ribosomal RNA is filed under the name uncultured bacterium. Its description in RNAcentral is "bacterial SSU rRNA". It matches the Rfam family "Bacterial small subunit ribosomal RNA", at positions 1 to 507 of the family's 1533-position model. The record is from RNAcentral.
UAGUUUGACUCAGUGCUACAGAACGAACGCUGGCGGCAGGCUUAACACAUGCAAGUCGAACGGUUGUAGCAAUACAGCAGUGGCGCACGGGUGAGUAACGCGUGGAUAUCUGCCUUUUGGUUCGGAAUAACUCCGGGAAACUGGAGCUAAUACCGGAUGGUUCCUGCGGGAUAAAGAUUUAUCGCCAAAAGAUGAGUCCGCGUACGAUUAGCUAGUUGGUGAGGUAAUGGCUCACCAAGGCGACGAUCGUUAGCUGGUCUGAGAGGACGAUCAGCCACACUGGGACUGAGACACGGCCCAGACUCCUACGGGAGGCAGCAGUGGGGAAUAUUGGACAAUGGGGGCAACCCUGAUCCAGCCAUGCCGCGUGAGUGAUGAAGGCCUUCGGGUUGUAAAGCUCUUUUGGCGGGGACGAUGAUGACGGUACCCGCAGAAUAAGCCCCGGCUAACUUCGUG